UGUACGUGGUAUUUCCAUUUAUUUACCAAAAGAAUGAGAAUA
RNAcentral lists this small RNA (42 nucleotides) under Thalassiosira antarctica. RNAcentral's name for it is "partial Mitochondrion-encoded tmRNA". Lineage: Eukaryota; Bacillariophyta; Thalassiosirophyceae; Thalassiosirales; Thalassiosiraceae. The record is from RNAcentral.